UAAGUUAGCGGCGGACGGGUGAGUAACACGUGGGCAACCUGCCUGUAAGACUGGGAUAACUUCGGGAAACCGGAGCUAAUACCGGAUAAUAUAAAGAACCACAUGGUUCUCUAUUAAAAGAUGGUUUCGGCUAUCACUUACAGAUGGGCCCGCGGCGCAUUAGCUAGUUGGUGAGGUAACGGCUCACCAAGGCAACGAUGCGUAGCCGACCUGAGAGGGUGAUCGGCCACACUGGGACUGAGACACGGCCCAGACUCCUACGGGAGGCAGCAGUAGGGAAUCUUCCGCAAUGGACGAAAGUCUGACGGAGCAACGCCGCGUGAACGAUGAAGGCCUUCGGGUCGUAAAGUUCUGUUGUUAAGGAAGAACAAGUACGAGAGUAACUGCUCGUACCUUGACGGUACUUAACCAGAAAGCCACGGCUAACUACGUGCCAGCAGCCGCGGUAAUACGUAGGUGGCAAGCGUUAUCCGGAAUUAUUGGGCGUAAAGCGCGCGCAGGCGGUCUCUUAAGUCUGAUGUGAAAGCCCCCGGCUCAACCGGGGAGGGUCAUUGGAAACUGGGAGACUUGAGUGCAGAAGAGGAGAGUGGAAUUCCACGUGUAGCGGUGAAAUGCGUAGAGAUGUGGAGGAACACCAGUGGCGAAGGCGACUCUCUGGUCUGUAACUGACGCUGAGGCGCGAAAGCGUGGGGAGCGAACAGGAUUAGAUACCCUGGUAGUCCACGCCGUAAACGAUGAGUGCUAAGUGUUAGAGGGUUUCCGCCCUUUAGUGCUGCAGCAAACGCAUUAAGCAUCCGCCUGGGGAGUACGGUGCAAGACUGAAACUCAAAGGAAUUGACGGGGGCCCGCACAAGCGGUGGAGCAUGUGGUUUAAUUUGAAGCAACGUGAAGAACCUUACCAGGUCUUGACAUCCCUAUGUCCGCUUUAGAGAUAGAGUUUUCCAUUUGGGGACAAAGGUGACAGGUGGUGCAUGGUUGUAGUCAGCUCGUGUCGUGAGAUGUUGGGUUAAGUCCCGUAACGAGCGCAACCCUUGAUUUUAGUUGCCAGCAUUCAGUUGGGCACUCUAAGGUGACUGCCGGUGACAAACCGGAGGAAGGUGGGGACGACGUCAAAUCAUCAUGCCCCUUAUGACCUGGGGUACACACGUGGUACAAUGGAUGGUACAAAGGGCAGCAAACCCGUGAGGUUAAGCGAAUCCCAUAAAACCAUUCUCAGUUCGGAUUGCAGGAUGCAAAUCGCCUGCAUGAAGCUGGAAUCGAUAGUAAUCGGGGAUCAGCAUGCCGCGGUGAAUACGUUCCCGGGCCUUGUACACACCGCCCGUCCCACCAAGAGAGUUGGUAACACCCGAAGUCGGUGGGGUUACUCUAGGA
RNAcentral lists this ribosomal RNA (1371 nucleotides) under Litchfieldia sp. RNAcentral's name for it is "bacterial SSU rRNA". It matches the Rfam family "Bacterial small subunit ribosomal RNA", at positions 88 to 1447 of the family's 1533-position model. Lineage: Bacteria; Bacillati; Bacillota; Bacilli; Caryophanales; Bacillaceae. The record is from RNAcentral.